GCUUUACUGUAGCUUGGUAUUGGGUUCGGGUCCUGAUUGCGCAGGAUAGGUGGGAGACUGAGAAGCAGUCCUUGUGGGGAUUGUGGAGUCACCGGUGAGAUACCACUCUAUCAGGACUAGAAUUCUAACCUUCAGCCGUUAUCCGGCGAGGGGACAGUAUCAGGUGGGCAGUUUGACUGGGGCGGUCGCCUCCUAAAUGGUAACGGAGGCGCGCAAAGGUUCCCUCCGGCUGGUUGGAAAUCAGCCUUCGAGUGUAAAGGCAUAAGGGAGCUUGACUGCGAGACUGACAAGUCGAGCAGGGUGGAAACACGGCCUUAGUGAUCCGACGGUUCCGCGUGGAAGGGCCGUCGCUCAACGGAUAAAAGUUACUCUA
Molecule: ribosomal RNA, 373 nt
Filed under: Synechococcus sp. CYAN2
Lineage: Bacteria; Bacillati; Cyanobacteriota; Cyanophyceae; Synechococcales; Synechococcaceae
Description: partial 23S ribosomal RNA
Rfam family: Bacterial large subunit ribosomal RNA
Source: RNAcentral